AACGAACGCUGGCGGCAUGCCUAACACAUGCAAGUCGAACGGGAUCCUAGCUUGCUAGGUGAGAGUGGCGGACGGGUGAGUAACACGUGGGAAUCUGCCUUUUGGUUCGGGAUAACCGCGGGAAACUGCGGCUAAUACCGAAUGCCCUCGUGAGAGGAAAGAUUUAUCGCCAGAAGAGGAGCCCGCGUCCGAUUAGGUAGUUGGUGGGGUAAAGGCCUACCAAGCCGACGAUCGGUAGCUGGUCUGAGAGGAUGAUCAGCCACACUGGGACUGAGAUACGGCCCAGACUCCUACGGGAGGCAGCGGUGGGGAAUAUUGGACAAUGGGGGCAACCCUGAUCCAGCAAUGCCGCGUGAGUGAUGAAGGCCUUAGGGUUGUAAAGCUCUUUUGCCAGGGAAGAUGAUGACUGUACCUGGAGAAUAAGCCCCGGCUAACUUCGUGCCAGCAGCCGCGGUAAU
This 458-nucleotide ribosomal RNA is filed under the name uncultured bacterium. RNAcentral describes it as "bacterial SSU rRNA". It matches the Rfam family "Bacterial small subunit ribosomal RNA", at positions 29 to 524 of the family's 1533-position model. The record is from RNAcentral.